Molecule: ribosomal RNA, 468 nt
Filed under: uncultured bacterium
Lineage: Bacteria
Description: partial 16S ribosomal RNA
Rfam family: Bacterial small subunit ribosomal RNA
Source: RNAcentral
GACGAACGCUGGCGGCGUGCUUAACACAUGCAAGUCGAACGGAAAGGCCCUGCUUUUGUGGGUUGCUCGAGUGGCGAACGGGUGAGUAACACGUGAGUAACCUGCCCUUGACUUUGGGAUAACUUCAGGAAACUGGGGCUAAUACCGGAUAGGAGCUCCUGCUGCAUGGUGGGGGUUGGAAAGUUUCGGCGGUUGGGGAUGGACUCGCGGCUUAUCAGCUUGUUGGUGGGGUAGUGGCUUACCAAGGCUUUGACGGGUAGCCGGCCUGGGAGGGUGACCGGCAACAUUGGGACUGAGAUACGGACCAGACUCCUACGGGAGGCAGCAGUGGGGAAUAUUGCACAAUGGGCGGAAGCCUGAUGCAGCAACGCCGCGUGCGGGAUGACGGCCUUCGGGUUGUAAACCGCUUUAGCAUGUGACGAAGCGUGAGUGACAGUAAUGGGUAAAGAAGCACCGGCUAACUACGUG